Molecule: ribosomal RNA, 776 nt
Filed under: uncultured Neocallimastigales
Lineage: Eukaryota; Fungi; Neocallimastigomycota; Neocallimastigomycetes; Neocallimastigales
Description: partial large subunit ribosomal RNA
Rfam family: Eukaryotic large subunit ribosomal RNA
Source: RNAcentral
CGAGCACGCGCGUGUGGCAUAUCAAUAAGCGGAGGAAAAGAAACUAACAGGGAUUCCCUUAGUAACGGCGAGUGAAGCGGGAAGAGCUCAAAUUUGAAAUCUUCAAGGUUCUACCUUGACGAAUUGUAGUUUAUAGAAGUGUUUUCUGUUAGUAGAGUGGCAAAAGUUCUUUGGAAUAGGACAUCAUGGAGGGUGAGAAUCCCGUAUUUGGUCAUUCUUUCUAGCUUUGUGAUACACUUUCAACGAGUCGGAUUGUUUGGGAAUGCAGUCCAAAAUGGGUGGUAAAUUUCAUCUAAAGCUAAAUAUUGGCGAGAGACCGAUAGCGAACAAGUACCGUGAGGGAAAGAUGAAAAGAACUUUGAAAAGAGAGUUAAACAGUACGUGAAAUUGUCAAAAGGGAAGCGUUUGACACCAGUGUUGUUUUUCCGAAAAUCAAUUACGAAUGUUUUAGUUUUUAAGAAGUUAUGACUUCAUCGGCUUGCUUCUCUCUUUACUGAAACUUUCUUAAUGCACUUUUCGGUUAACAAGUCAACAUCAAUUUCUUUUGUUGUAAAAGGGUAUGAGGAAGGUGGCUUUCUUUUCGGAGAAAGUGUUUAUAGCCUUGUACCUCUGCAAUCGGAGAGAUUGAGGUCUGCAGCGUAGAUCCUUCGGGGUUAGAUACAUUUGUGCUAAGUUAUAGCUUUUCAUAGACAACUUGUUGACUAUGUUUAGUCUUGUAGCUUACUCGCUUAUGCUAUUUUACCUACGCUUAGGAUGUUGAUGUGAUACUGCGAGCA